Molecule: long non-coding RNA, 3540 nt
Organism: Columba livia (rock pigeon)
Lineage: Eukaryota; Metazoa; Chordata; Aves; Columbiformes; Columbidae
Exons: 3
Source: RefSeq, a predicted model, not a curated record
AAACCAGAAUGCUAUUUGAAGGUAAAAUCUAUUUAAUUCCUCUUCCAUUCACAGUUUCUGGAAAAAGAAGCCACAAAUUUGUGUUAACACUGAACAGUAUCACUGAGAUUACUCUACAAAGCGUCCGCAUUAGAAAUUUGCGUCUGGAUCCUGUGGGCUUUGGAAGGCAUCGCUGCAGAAGUGGGAAAGGGAUAUAAUUUGUCAAGUAAAUUCUCUAGGAUAAAAUUCCUAGAUACCAGCUGACUUUAAUCAAGCAGAGGGCAAUAUCUCAAGUUAGGCGGCUUGCUAGUAAACCCUCUAAUGGAGCUGCUGAGCUGUUGCAAAGGAUCCCAGUGAGAAGGACUGCAAAAGUUGAGAAGGUUGUCAAGCAGAAACUGAGUACUUGGGUGGAAGCAAACCACAAAACCCAUCCACCUCUGUGUCAAGACAGGGAGAGAGUGGGUUUUUCUUUGGGUGGAGCUCAGCCGUGACAGACCAAGUGGGGUACCCACUUCUCUCCAUUGAGGAGCUCAUGGCAGGGGGAGUGCCAAGUAACUAGUCACAAGCCACUCCUGACCUCAAACGCCACUGGAAGUUUCAGAUCUGUCUUAUGCACGUUGGUGAAAUUUGUAAGGAUUUCCACACAGAAGACCAAAAGUCAGUGUCCUGAGCAGUUAAGAGUAGCCCUGUAACCCAACAGAUACAAAUUGUUGUCACUACUAAUGUACCAGAAGUUUCACAUUAGCUCUGUGAGGCCUUUGGACUUGACAGGCUUUGAUUUGGUUUGUCCUGGGCUACCCACAGCUUUGUUUAAGCUGUUUUAGCUGUUAACAGCAGUUUCCUAAUGAUCAAGUGGUCAUUACCUAAUUUGUUUUACUCUUGCUUUGCUUUGUAUAGUCACCUGGUAUAACCAUAAUUUUUAUACAGAUAGCAUUUAACGAGCUGUUAUUUCACAUAGAACUAAACAUUUUCUACAGCAGCAAAAUGACGCGUUAUAAAGGAAUGGUAUCAUAGCAGAAGCCUUUACUGAGGAUGAUGGAGAGCGCAGUAUAGAGUACAGGCAUGGGGUGAUAACAGAAGUAAACUACUAGAACAGGUCAUCAGUGGUCAGCCACGGGCAGUUAAAGAAAUGCAGUCUUGAGAACUGGGUAAACCCCUUUUAGAGUUAAUAAAAAGAACAAGGAAGAAGUGUCCAGCAUACACAAAAUCUCAUGUUCAUGAAAUUUCAUAUUUCCCAUGGAAAAAAAGAGGAAGUAGUACACUGCAAUAGAAGGUAUAUAACAAUAUCCCCAUGUGGUGAGUGAGGAGAAAGAAAAGCCUAUCAUCGGCAUUAUACUCCUCUUGGCAAAGGAAUGCCAAUGACCUGUAACACUGAAGCACAGACAGAACCUUUACAAGCAGGGGAGUAUAGCAGUGGCAAAAGGGGUAGACAUUAGGAAGGGAGUAUAAAAUAUUUUAAACUGUGUCAUCCCGGAAAUUAGUUUUAUAGUAUUAUAGUACAUACUUCUCAAUUUUUAAUGUAAUAAUUUGAUCAAGAAGAUUAAUAAACCUCUUAUUAGAUAGUUGAGAACACUAACUAUAAAUCCUUUGCUUUUUUAAGAAGUUGUGUAUUCUGCCCAUAAUGAGAUUUUAAGUGUAAUAGUGACUAUACUCAUUUCAGGAUUGGAACUGGUACGUAGUUGCUGAUAAGUAAAGAAUUAAACUGGGAGCCAAAGAAGGUCUGUGGGUGGGGUUUGCACCCAGAAAGGUGCAAAUCUACAUGUGUUAAAAAAAAAAUAUAUAUUAUAAAUGGGACUUGAAGAAACCAAAGUGUUUGACAUACAAUGGCUUUUUGCAAUUUGUCAACAGAAAAAGAGCCUUUGUCCUACAACAAGACUUUCAGGAGGUAGCUCUGAAGAACUACCAUCUUCUGUCCUGUGGGGCUGAAAGCAGCAUUGCUCAGUGCAGAAUCAGAGGCAAUAGAAAUUAAAUUAAGAAAAAGAGGAAUUAUGGACCAUGAAUGAAAUAAAAUGACCUUGCUUGUACUGGUAAUUUCCUGCUUAGGGACUAUACUUUUAUUCAUACAGACAAUUGCAUCAGGGUCUACAGAAGCAUCUACUCCAGGCACAAUCAAUGUCCCCUAAGUGAUAGCCUCACUAGCUAUUGUAUUGCUCUAAGAGGUUAAAUUAGGAAGGGAUCUUUCCCAUCUCAGGUGAGUGCUAUGUCCCCAGACUAUUCGCUAUUCUUGAAUAACUCUAUUUUACUUUUCCAAAUUUCCAUAAUUUUUGUUUGUUUCUGUGGGGCUUUUUUUUUUUUUCUUUUUUGUCUCAGUUUCAGUCAGCACCAGAAAAAGUCAGAUUUCAAGAUUUCAGAAAGUUUUCAGUAUUCUCUCCUUACUGAAAUCCAAUGCCAAGUUCAAUUUUUUGCCACAGUUUGACUAAUUCACAGCAGGGAACAGAACUGUAGAAAUGUGGCAUUAUGAUGGGAGGAGUAGGAUACAAUGGAAGAGUUUUAAUUUCUUACUCCUUGGAUUCCAUGUCAGAAGAAGAUUGGCUAUGAGGCCUUUAUAAGACACCCUUCUUGCCAACACAGUUUGCGCCGGGGUAAGAAAACCUCCCUCCAGCACUGGUGGGAGAUGCUGGAUUGUCCCAGAGUAACCAGAAGCACAGGUUGCUGCAAUUUGGGAUGACGGCAUGGUGUCAUCAGCUGGCACAUUUAAAAUACUUACUGUUCAGGUGGAGAGCUCUAGCAGCUAACAAUACUCUUGGUAUAGGUCUACAGUCUUUUUCUUCUCUUUUUCUCAUGUUUUAGUGAUUGUACCAAAGACUGUGUGCUAUAGAUAUAUACACACACUAGCAUAAUUUGGCUGUUGUCAGAAGAGAUGAUGUCAAUGACAAUGUCAAAUCUUUUUUGUUGUGUACUUUAGCAGAGGCUUCAUGACUGUUUCUUUGCUGGCAGUACCACUUAGCAGGAAGAAGAAUACACAGGAGAAUGACAACAAUAGUCAUUUCUGGCAAGGAUAAGUGGCUUUGAAAAUGUUCUUCAGCAGCAGAUGUCCAAGGUUUUAAAUGAGUGCACUGUGAAAACAGAAAAUGAAAACAGCUUGGACGACUUCAUAAAGGAUUACAGAAUGAAGUGUCUAUUUUCUUUCAAGUAAAUGUAUGAACAACUAUAAAUUUAAAGAUGUUUGGUUUAGAAGAGCUAAGAGGACUGCUCAAGAAAGGCUGAUGUUUCCACAUCAUGAAAGUCCAGUGUCAAAGAGAAAGGUAAAAUCAACAAAAGUUAUGAAAAUUUUUAUGUGCAAUUCUCAUCAUUCUUUUUUCCUUUUUGUUAUUAAGUCAUUAAAAACAAUGGUUGCUACAAUAGAAAUAAGUUGUUGUCACAUAUGCAUAGCUGUGGACCAAAGUGAAUGCUUUACAUGUCAUAAUUUCUCAUCCUCAUUUGGAUCUGAAAGUCUCCCCUUAUCAACACAACAAGCCAUGAUCUGUGGAAUUUGCUGAAAUAAUUCUGUUAACCUUAUCUUCCCUUUCCUUUCGCUUCUUCAAUUGCUGCAUAUUCCUUCUUCUUCAUUAGCUGUAUCUG